UCUUUCAAUAAUGUUGGUGUUACGAUAAAUGAUGACGAACAUAUCACAUCAAUGUCAGAAUUCAGCGUCUAUAAAGAAACUCCUCGGAGUAAAAUAUUUUUAAUAAUUCGAUAUCGAAACCAUCCUCAGUCGUUCGGGCUGGAAUACACAAGCGGUCGGCUGAGAAAUUACUCGUCUCCUGACAGGGAAACAUUAUUGGCUGGUUUGCUAGACGGUGUUAGAGCCAGUUGAAACAUAGAUGUUUGCGUAAAAACGACCCCAACGAAGAGAAGUACUGUACGCUUAUUCAUAGAUGAUUGAGCGAAAAUUAUGGUCAAAAUUUUCCUGAUGAAAAUCUCGUACUGCUAUGAUUACCCUAAAUACGAUCCCUCAUUUCAUUCUCCUGCUGACGUAUGUGAUCUCAUAUAACACACCAACAAUUACACUUCU
Molecule: long non-coding RNA, 429 nt
Filed under: Dendronephthya gigantea
Lineage: Eukaryota; Metazoa; Cnidaria; Anthozoa; Malacalcyonacea; Nephtheidae
Description: uncharacterized LOC114532961, transcript variant X1
Source: RNAcentral